This 23-nucleotide microRNA is filed under the name Tetraodon nigroviridis (spotted green pufferfish). RNAcentral's name for it is "Tni-Mir-19-P2d_3p (mature (guide))". The record is from RNAcentral. Lineage: Eukaryota; Metazoa; Chordata; Actinopteri; Tetraodontiformes; Tetraodontidae.
UGUGCAAACCCAUGCAAAGCUGA